UCCAUCUUUAUUGAAAAAAGUGUUAAAUGAGAAUUAGGUAUUUUGAGUUUUGUUGUGAAAAUGACUUGACCUAGAUCAAGUAUUGAUGGACGUUUGAGAAAGAUUUGAAUGAGUGUUUGAGAAAACAAAGUGGGUAAAUUGGAUGAUGGCGAGAGCUAGGAUUGAUAUUAAAUCGAGAAAAAUAUGAUUUUUAUAGUUUAAAAAUAGUUUUGAAUGAAUGAUGAAAUUAAAAGACAACAAAUCUAUGUUAUGAUAAUGAAACUAUGAAAAUAAUAAAGCAUAAACGUAACAAAAAAAUGUUAAAAGAAAUAAAAUACUAAAAGAAAAUAAAAAGCUAAAAGAAAAAUAAAAUACUAAAAAAAAAUUCUACACAUGAGUAUUGAACCCACCCCACCCAAGACUAUGAUACUACCCUUCUCCACCAGACCACUCAUGGUUAUUUAUUAUUUUGAUGCUACUUUAAAU
This 465-nucleotide long non-coding RNA is filed under the name Lathyrus oleraceus (garden pea). Its description in RNAcentral is "Pisum sativum (pea) long non-coding RNA (PSAT_LNC037810)". Lineage: Eukaryota; Viridiplantae; Streptophyta; Magnoliopsida; Fabales; Fabaceae. The record is from RNAcentral.